This 498-nucleotide small RNA is filed under the name Pongo abelii (Sumatran orangutan). RNAcentral's name for it is "retained intron". Lineage: Eukaryota; Metazoa; Chordata; Mammalia; Primates; Hominidae. The record is from RNAcentral.
ACCUGAUACCGAUGAGAAGAAUGGCCUGAACCUUCUGCGGAGACUCUGGGUGGUCAAGUUUGACAAGGAGGAGGAGAUCCGGAAGCUGGCUGAGAGGCUCUGGUCAAUGAUGGGCCUAGACCUGCAGCCAGACCUAUGCUCCUUGCUGAUCGACGACGUGAUCUAUCAUGAGGCGGCUGUAAGGCAGGCGGGGGCAGAAGCCCUCUCCGAAGCAGUGGCACGUUACCAGCGGCAGGCGGCGGAGGUUAUGGGCAGGCUCAUGGAGAUUUACCAGGAGAAGCUCUACGUGAGUGACCUCUGCAGCCCUGAUGCAGUCUGGGUGUGUGCGGUUGGGUGGGUCUCUGCUCAGCCCCCUACUGCUCCAGACAGGAAUCUCGGGGCUCACGGUGGCUCAGGGUAGCUGCGGCUAGUUUCCCACCUCACAAUCCUGGUGCCCAGGUCAUCGAUCUGCCCGUUGCAAAGCAUUUACCAACUUGUCUGUUGCAGCGGCCGCCCCCA